This 317-nucleotide ribosomal RNA is filed under the name Pyatan sp. n. MZSP 72929. RNAcentral describes it as "partial small subunit ribosomal RNA". The record is from RNAcentral. Lineage: Eukaryota; Metazoa; Arthropoda; Arachnida; Opiliones; Gonyleptidae.
CCCUAGUAUAAUUAAGAAUUUUUAUUAGUAUAUAAAUGAGAAUAAAUAUUUUUGGCGGUUGGUUAUUUUUAGAGGAGCUUGUUAAUUAAGAAGAAUUUACUCUUUAUAUUUUAAUUAUAAAAAGUUUAUUCAUCUCCGUUAUUAGAUAAUUAUCAGAUAAAUUUAAUAUUAUAUUUCAGGUCAAGAUGUAACAUUUAUUAUUUUUGAUUAGCUACAUUUAUAUAAGUGAUGGAUUUAUAAUUGUUAAAAUUAAGGAGAAAUUGAAUUUAAUUGUAAUAUUAAUCAGAAAAUUAAUAUGAAUUGUUAUAAUUAAUGUA